ACAUGUGGUGGGAACAGAGUACAUGUGCCAUAAAAUUCAAUUUUUCUCCUAACAACUUAUACUUAGCACUUUGAUCUUUGUAGAAAAAACCUUGCUGGGUCCGAAGUUGUCCAGAUGCAUGGUGAAUGAUGGCUGAGAUAUGGUGCGAAAUGGAAUAGAAAGAAAAUUCUUGUGCCUGCAGGGAGCGGAACUGAAUGUGAUCGGGGGGUCACAGUCAAGAGAGUGCUUCCUUAGCGUUCUACCAAAGGGAAAUGGUGAGUUGUCACUUGAAACUAUCAUCUUCAUUCUCAAUUUAUUUAUUUUAGCAAAGGAAAAAUAUUCUAGGUUCUGCUCUUCAUUUAGAAUAUUCACAACUAAAUGAUUUCCUUUCUUGUAUAUUUGACAUUUCAGCCACUAUCAUGGAAGUAAAAGAGAUGGCCAUUUAAUUAGGCUAGGCUCACAAGUAGCUGAAUUUUUUUUGUGUGAAGAUGCAUCAGUGAUUUUUUAGCAGUUUAUAAUGGUACUAGCCCCCUGUGCUUGUGGGUGCAGUACCCUAAUUGCAGAAAAAUACUAGGUGCAAGUGUGGUGCUGGUUCUCUCCUUUGGCUCUUUGGUAUUGGUUCUCUCCUUUGGCUCCUUGUAAUAUGUGUUGGAUAUGUGUUCAUGGAUAUGUGUUGGAUAUAUAUGUG
RNAcentral lists this long non-coding RNA (667 nucleotides) under Triticum aestivum (bread wheat). Its description in RNAcentral is "long non-coding RNA (TAES_LNC015656)". Lineage: Eukaryota; Viridiplantae; Streptophyta; Magnoliopsida; Poales; Poaceae. The record is from RNAcentral.